CCUACGGGAGGCAGCAGUGGGGGAUAUUGCACACGUAUGCGCGACCUGAUGCAGCGACGCCGCGUGAGCGAUGAAGGCCUUCGGGUCGUAAAGCUCUGUUUCGAGGGAAGAUAAUGACGGUACCUCGGGAGGAAGCCCCGGCUAACUACGUGCCAGCAGCCGCGGUAA
Molecule: ribosomal RNA, 168 nt
Filed under: uncultured Clostridium sp.
Lineage: Bacteria; Bacillati; Bacillota; Clostridia; Eubacteriales; Clostridiaceae
Description: partial 16S ribosomal RNA
Rfam family: Bacterial small subunit ribosomal RNA
Source: RNAcentral